GGGUUUGUGAUGCAGCUUCGGCGCGUGCUCAAGUGUGCCAUAGAGUUAGCAUUAAAAACGUGAAAAACGGACUAUUGCUCCGGAACGGUAAGGACUACGGUGGCCGGCCGGCCGCGGUGGACGGGCCGGCGCUCGGCCACUCUUCUCUGGCGGCUGCAGCUGCCGCAGACGGAGACGGACCUGGACUACCCGGCGCCCACAGAGCCCCGCACAGUGCCGGAGACGGACCUGGACUACCCGGCGCCCACCGAACCCCGCACAGUGCCGGAGCUCGACCGACGCACUAGCUGUGUCACGUUGGGGAAGAGCGUUUUCACGCGCCCCCUCGAACUCGGCUUCUGGGCCACGU
Long non-coding RNA from Amphibalanus amphitrite, 349 nucleotides. RefSeq lists it as uncharacterized. The transcript is spliced from 3 exons. The record is from RefSeq and is a predicted model, not a curated record. Lineage: Eukaryota; Metazoa; Arthropoda; Thecostraca; Balanomorpha; Balanidae.